CAGCAGCCACGGUAAUACAGAGGGUGCGAGCGUUAAUCGGAUUUACUGGGCGUAAAGCGUGCGUAGGCGGCUUUUUAAGUCGGAUGUGAAAUCCCUGAGCUUAACUUAGGAAUUGCAUUCGAUACUUGGAAGCUAGAGUAUGGGAGAGGAUGGUAGAAUUCCAGGUGUAGCGGUGAAAUGCGUAGAGAUCUGGAGGAAUACCGAUGGCGAAGGCAGCCAUCUGGCCUAAUACUGACGCUGAGGUACGAAAGCAUGGGGAGCAAACAGGAUUAGAUACCCCAGUAGUCCCUGUCUCUUAUAC
This 301-nucleotide ribosomal RNA is filed under the name uncultured bacterium. Its description in RNAcentral is "partial 16S ribosomal RNA". It matches the Rfam family "Bacterial small subunit ribosomal RNA", at positions 509 to 807 of the family's 1533-position model. The record is from RNAcentral.